Molecule: long non-coding RNA, 610 nt
Organism: Octopus sinensis (East Asian common octopus)
Lineage: Eukaryota; Metazoa; Mollusca; Cephalopoda; Octopoda; Octopodidae
Exons: 3
Source: RefSeq, a predicted model, not a curated record
AAUCAUUCCAGUCAUCAACAAAUGUGCUCCUGGCUAUUUCAUCUAAUGUGUUUGAUCCAUAAGAAGAUAAAGAGAAAUUAGAAGUUCGCAGGAUGCUGUUUAUAGUAGAAUGAGCAAACAUAUAGAAGUUCCCUUCCUGGGUGUGUGAUAUUGUAUCUCAUCAAUGAUAGAUACAAGACCGGGAUAGCGAACAUUUGUCGCUCGAAUUAUUGUGCGGUUCAAUAAUUUACAAUCUAAAUCACUCUGAGCUUUCCUGUAAAGAAGGCAAAGUGACAAAGACAAUGACAUUAAGAGUCGGAAGGAAGUUGACACUGAAAAACUGAAUAUGGUUGAGAAUGUAACACUUGAAACGCAAGGAAGUCAAAAUCUGAAUUCUCAAGUGAAUAUUUUUAUUUAUUACCAGAUAUAGAUUAAUUUCUUUCUUACACCACGAUAUUUGACUGCAACAAUGCUGGAGCACCACCUUCUGUCGAUGAAAUCGAUCCCAGGACUCAUUCUUUGUAAGCUACUACUUAUUCCAUCGGUGUUUGGCCGAACCGCAAAAUUUCGAGGACGUAUGCACACCAUCAUCAGUUGUCAAGUGAUGGUGGGAUUACAAACUCAGACACAG